This 72-nucleotide transfer RNA is filed under the name Sclerotinia borealis F-4128. RNAcentral's name for it is "tRNA-Glu (CTC) (tRNA-Glu-CTC-1-1)". It matches the Rfam family "tRNA". Rfam says of the family: Transfer RNA (tRNA) molecules are approximately 80 nucleotides in length. Lineage: Eukaryota; Fungi; Ascomycota; Leotiomycetes; Helotiales; Sclerotiniaceae. The record is from RNAcentral.
UCCGGCAUGGUGUAGUGGCUAGCAUUAUCGCCUCUCACGCGAUAGACCGGGGUUCAAUUCCCCGUACCGGAA